AUACGUAGGGUGCAAGCGUUGUCCGGAAUUAUUGGGCGUAAAGAGCUCGUAGGCGGCUUGUCGCGUCUGCUGUGAAAACCCGAGGCUCAACCUCGGGCUUGCAGUGGGUACGGGCAGGCUAGAGUGUGGUAGGGGAGAUUGGAAUUCCUGGUGUAGCGGUGGAAUGCGCAGAUAUCAGGAGGAACACCGAUGGCGAAGGCAGAUCUCUGGGCCACUACUGACGCUGAGGAGCGAAAGCAUGGGGAGCGAACAGGAUUAGAUACCCUGGUAGUCCAUGCCGUAAACGUUGGGAACUAGAUGUAGGGACCUUUCCAGGGUUUCUGUGUCGUAGCUAACGCAUUAAGUUCCCCGCCUGGGGAGUACGGCCGCAAGGCUAAA
This 378-nucleotide ribosomal RNA is filed under the name uncultured bacterium. Its description in RNAcentral is "bacterial SSU rRNA". It matches the Rfam family "Bacterial small subunit ribosomal RNA", at positions 523 to 898 of the family's 1533-position model. The record is from RNAcentral.